AUAUAGCUAGUUAUCAUAUGUAGAUAUAAAAAGGCAAAUCCGUGGGGAAGCCGGGAGCGAGGGAUGAAGAAUUGUCAAACCCCAGAAGCCUGUAAUUCUCUUCCUUGAUACAGCCGGAUCAUCGGACGGACUCCAUAGAUAUCAUUCACUCUUAUAUACAUAUUAUACAUGCUUUCGGCUGCUCUUUUCUCCUUGCUUUCUUCGCAGCUCAUCAGGAGUGUUGUGGCCGGAUUAUAACAUGGAAAAUAUACCAGAAGAUGAACAUGUGAAUCUACAUGAAGAAGGACUUGAAGAGAAUGAUGAAAGUGUGUCAUCAAAUUCGCAGGAUUUCCCUUUUCUCGCAGGGCUGAAUCUUGUUUUACUUGUUUCUUAUCUCUCACUCUCUGAGGAUGAAUGCUUAAGCUUAGAGGAUACGGAGAAGAUGGAAAUUGCCACAUCUCAAGAACCGAAAGACAGCAUAUUAAGGGUGCGGGCAGAAAAACGAAAACUACAUGAGCCAAAGUUGGUUGAAUCACGAGUUCAGAGGGUUCAGAGUAAAGUAAGAGAUUGCAGGCACAACAGAAGAAUGUGACUAAAAGCAAUAUACAAGUGAUAGCAAACACAUCUGAAUCAGUAAAACUUUAGUCUCCUCCAAGCUCGUCACGUCGAACAAAGACAGAAAAGGUAAAUAUAUGGAUCUUCUAAUGAAAAAGCGACAUAGUUUAGAUUAGCAUUACCAUUGUUAAGAGAGUAUCAGUACAGUUGGGUGUACAUUCCCGUGUGGAUCACAUCCGUAAGAAUGCAGGAGUCAUUAAUAUCAACCAUACGUACCUAUUAUGUACAACAUAACAGAGAAAGAGGUGCAAACUUGAUACUUGUAUGAAUGAACCAAGUUUUUGUAAUAACAACUCAUCCACUCUUUUUCUGAUUUCA
Long non-coding RNA from Daucus carota subsp. sativus, 912 nucleotides. RefSeq lists it as uncharacterized. NCBI's taxonomy places the organism in Eukaryota, Viridiplantae, Streptophyta, Magnoliopsida, Apiales, Apiaceae. The record is from RefSeq and is a predicted model, not a curated record. The transcript has 3 exons.